GACGAACGCUGGCGGCGUGCUUAACACAUGCAAGUCGAGCGAUGAAGCUCCUUCGGGAGUGGAUUAGCGGCGGACGGGUGAGUAACACGUGGGUAACCUGCCUCGUAGAGGGGAAUAGCCUUCCGAAAGGAAGAUUAAUACCGCAUAAGAUUGUAGUUUCGCAUGAAACAGCAAUUAAAGGAGUAAUCCGCUAUGAGAUGGACCCGCGUCGCAUUAGCUAGUUGGUGAGGUAACGGCUCACCAAGGCGACGAUGCGUAGCCGACCUGAGAGGGUGAUCGGCCACAUUGGGACUGAGACACGGCCCAGACUCCUACGGGUGGCUG
RNAcentral lists this ribosomal RNA (324 nucleotides) under uncultured Bacillota bacterium. Its description in RNAcentral is "bacterial SSU rRNA". It matches the Rfam family "Bacterial small subunit ribosomal RNA", at positions 28 to 351 of the family's 1533-position model. Lineage: Bacteria; Bacillati; Bacillota. The record is from RNAcentral.